This is a non-coding RNA of Oryza meridionalis, 194 nucleotides long. The record is from Rfam. Lineage: Eukaryota; Viridiplantae; Streptophyta; Magnoliopsida; Poales; Poaceae.
UUUAAGUGCAACCAUAAAUUUCUGCGUCCAACUUUAAUCGUCUAUCUUAUUUAAACUUUUUUAUAAUUAGUAUUUUUGUUGUUAUAAGAUGAUAAAAUAUGAAUAGUACUUUACUCGUGACUUUUGUUUUUUUAUUUUUUUUACAUAAGACGGACGGUUAAAGUUGGGCACGGAAAACCGUGGCUGUAAUUAAA